Molecule: long non-coding RNA, 1163 nt
Filed under: Mytilus galloprovincialis (Mediterranean mussel)
Lineage: Eukaryota; Metazoa; Mollusca; Bivalvia; Mytilida; Mytilidae
Source: RNAcentral
CACGUUCUCAAUAUCGUUGAUCAUAAAUUUCAUCGUGGGGGAUCUGGACUCAAAACUUUUGUGUGUUGAUAUAAUUUUUUCGAUGUUUUGUUCUAUUUUUUUAUUUUUCUAUUCCUUUUCAAAAUAUUUCUUGCAUUAAGUUCCCAAAACGUUAUGUCUCCUUUCAGCAUUCUUGACUUUUUGAACUUUGCUCAGAUAUUUCUCCAGCAGGUUUCAGAAACCGUUAUAAUUUGCAAAUUAAGGAAAACUUGUAAGUUGUCUUUCAAAUAGCCUUGAAUCCAUGUCCCAUCUCUGCUCCGCAUCCGGCAGUUGGACAUGACUGAUAUAUAAAGCUAUCAUCUGCAUGGGUGUUUCCCCGUUGUGCUCCUAUUUCAGUUAUUUGUCAUCUGGUUGACCUCUGUAUAUUAUUUUACGGAUGUAACAUUUCAAUCCGCAUGACAUUUGUUUCUCUGAUUUAUAGUUGUACAAUUAUUAACAUGAAUAUAAAAGUAAUUCAUAAGCUGAUAUUUGUGAUCAAAAUAUUUCAUUGGAAUUGUGUCAGCACCUAUAAGCACUGGUUCUUGUGUGGAAAGUACAAGUGCAUGGAGACUGACGGCUAUGUCUUUUGGUGUUUGUAGUUUUCUUUGCAAACAUAUAUUGGGUUUUGUACUUUGUCCAGUGGUGGUCAAAUAUUGAGCACGAUUUGUGCCUUAGGCGUACCUCGCGACUGAGUACUGGCAAAAUCUGGCGCGAAUGAAUUACAUUUCUUUUUUCUUUUUUGUUUUAGUUUGUGCACCCGGCGUCCUAAAAUCCGUGCCUUAAAGUUAGAAAUAUAGGUUCUCACUGCGUUCUUAUAGUGAUCUGGUACGUAAAGGAUGUGUGUCAAGAUAUAGUCUAAAACUUACAGUAUAAUAAGAUUGCAAUAAUAUUACUCAUUUAGCAAAUAUGUAAGUGUUAUCUAACAGUUGUAUAAUAUUGUAUUUAUUUGCCCUUGUUGCAAUUUGCUUAUAUGGUUUACCACUGAAUCAAUUAGCUAAUAUCAUAGCAGCACUUUAUUUUGAUUAAUUUGCUAAUAUAGUUAACCCUUGCGUUCUUAACAUGAAGUGAUACAAGUUUAUAUAUAUUGACAUUAAUAUUAUUAACUGUAAUUGAUUUCAUAAAAGUGCAGGCAUUUUUUUUUUUAA